This 254-nucleotide ribosomal RNA is filed under the name uncultured bacterium. Its description in RNAcentral is "partial 16S ribosomal RNA". It matches the Rfam family "Bacterial small subunit ribosomal RNA", at positions 524 to 776 of the family's 1533-position model. The record is from RNAcentral.
GACGAACCGUGCGAACGUUAUUCGGAAUCACUGGGCUUAAAGCGCGUGUAGGCGGGCCGGCACGUCGGUCGCUGAAAGCCCCCGGCUCAACCGGGGAACGGGCGCCGAUACGACCGCCCUGGAGGGACGUAGGGGGACCUGGAACUUCCGGUGGAGCGGUGAAAUGCGUUGAGAUCGGAAGGAACGCCCGUGGCGAAGGCGGCUACCUGGACCAGCACUGACACUGAGGCACGAAAGCGUGGGGAGCAAACAGG